GUCAAGAUCACACCUCUUACUGUUAAAGACUAACACACACUGACUGACAGACACACAUGGACACACCCACUCACUCAAGGGCGUACCUAAAGCAUUUGGCACCCGGUGCUUUUCCUGUGUUUCCCUCCUACUUUAAAAUGUAAAAGAACACUGCAAUUGUUUUAAAAGGUUUCUUUUUAAAACAGUCAAACUUUGAAAAACUCCUGUCCCCUUCUACAAAACUCCUGCAGCCCCCUGCCAUAAAACUCCUGCACCCACCUUCCCAAAAAACCCUGUCUUUCCCUCUAAAGCCCUUGCUCAUCCUCUUACAAUAGAAUUCAUUUUUUUUACACAACAAUAUUAGCAACAGUCUUUAGAGUCCUGUCCCGGGCACAGUCACUCGCACUCAGUCACACACAC
Molecule: non-coding RNA, 399 nt
Organism: Pelobates cultripes (western spadefoot toad)
Lineage: Eukaryota; Metazoa; Chordata; Amphibia; Anura; Pelobatidae
Source: the annotation of a GenBank genome assembly